CAUAUUAAAGUUUAUUUGAAUUUUUCUUUUACACUGAAAAGGUCUCGUUAUUCGGGUAUUAUGAGGG
RNAcentral lists this transfer RNA (67 nucleotides) under Parafontaria erythrosoma. Its description in RNAcentral is "tRNA-Val". Lineage: Eukaryota; Metazoa; Arthropoda; Diplopoda; Polydesmida; Xystodesmidae. The record is from RNAcentral.